This 836-nucleotide long non-coding RNA is filed under the name Sus scrofa (pig). Its description in RNAcentral is "lncRNA (ENSSSCG00015053728.1)". Lineage: Eukaryota; Metazoa; Chordata; Mammalia; Artiodactyla; Suidae. The record is from RNAcentral.
UGCUCUUCCUUCCUCCCUUACCAUCAGGAGCCAAGCUUUUGUUUUCGGUAGUGUCAACAUGGUAUGCUUACAAACAACCACACUCCAAGUCAGAGUCAUUUAUCAGAUGCAUCCUGUGUGCCAGGCCCAGGGCUGGUGGCUGGGGACACAGCUAGGGACAAUCUGAGACAUCUCUGCCCUUGUGGGCCUCAUCAGGAUGGAAGAUGGACAGUACGGAUAAAGUGGAACACAAGACCUGAUGUGGCAGAGGAAGGGUCUUUCCAGAUCAGGUGUAUUGGAUCCACUGUCUGACUGCCUUGCAACCCCUGCAUCUUCCUGAGGCCUCCAGUCUGAAGAAGCUCCAGAACAAUGACAAUCUCCACACCAUCCAGGCUGCCUUAGAGCCCAGCGAAUAUUCAAACAAGUCCUCGCAUAUGCAUGACCACAGCAGUGCUGUCGUGAAAAAUUACCAAGCCACAAUCACCAAAACAUGGAAACAGUCCAAGAGGAAAACAAUCUAAGAUCAACUCCAAAAUCAAGGGGAUGGGGGUGGAGGAAAUGAGUGGAUUAAUCAAAUGUGGCUCGGGAGUUCCCAUUGUGGCACAGUGGAAAUGAAUCCAACCAGGAACCAUGAGGAUGCAGGUUCGAUCCCAGUCCCUGCCCAUUGGGUUAAGGAUCCAGCGUUGCUGUGAGCUGUGGUGUAGGUUGCAGAUGUGGCUCGGAUCUGGCAUUGCUGUGGCUGUGGCAUAGGCCAGUAGCUACAGCUCCGUUUGGACCCCUAGCCUGGGAACCUCCAUAUGCCAUGGGUGCGGCCCUAAAAAUACAAUAGAUAAAUAAAUAAAUAAAAAUGUGUCUCA